AUUGGAGUGUUCUUGUCGGAGAUUUAAGAGGGGAAGUGUGAAAUAAAUAUUUCCUAUUGGUUUCUUCAAACUUAAGAUAAUUAAAAUGAAUGAUUCUCCUCUUCUAUUUCAAGAUGGAGAGAACAGUUGAGGAUUGGCCUUUAUUGUCUCAGAAGCACUAACUUUGGUACUUUCAUCUCCUAUGAAUGCGCAUUUACAAACAAAAAUCGUGCAUUUAUU
This 219-nucleotide unclassified non-coding RNA is filed under the name Hevea brasiliensis (rubber tree). The record is from RNAcentral. Lineage: Eukaryota; Viridiplantae; Streptophyta; Magnoliopsida; Malpighiales; Euphorbiaceae.